AAACCGAGGAGCAUUGAGAGACAAACAUGAGGCAUGAUCAAAUACUGCUUACAGUUUCAUAGUGCUGAUAAAUUUGCUUAAUCUCAUGAGAUGUAAAACAACGGUAGAUCCAGAAGUUGAUUAUGGCUAUGAGCUGAAACGAACUCCCGAGCAAAUAAAAACAGUUAGAAAAACACAAAUUAUUCCUGACUAUUGGACAAGGCGCCAAAUGAAACAAUUCAUGUGAGUAAUUACUAAAAUACGAGUGUAACUGAAUUUUUAAUUGCAUGUUAAUGUUCACAUAUGCACCAGCCUCCUACAUUUCUUUGCGACAAAGCCCAAGGCUCCAUCUUAUCCGUUUGGAUGCCAUGUUUUAUGAUAAAUAAAUAUCAUAAUUUGGAUUGGAAUAGUAUAGAGUUAUCAAAUAUCGACGGUAAAAACUGCAAAAAUGCGUGUCUCGGUUGUGAUAUUUCAAAAUUUACGCACUUAUUUUAUUUUUUUGAAAGAGACCGAUCCAACAUCAUUGCAUGAAAUUUUCACAGAAUAUUCUUAAAAAGGGAUGAGAAAUCACUGAGAAAUUGACUCAUUCAUCCACACUCAUUCAUUUUUAUUGAUAUAUUUAUUUUUCAAACUUUAAUAUCAAGAUAGAAUGGAUGGACCGGAAUGGAAAAUAUGGUCUUUGCGCUAAGCUUGGAAACGAAAUAACUAGAGUUCAUGAGCUAGAGUGCCGACCAUUGUGGGUUAACUACAGAACGUUCCUCAAGGAAGUGCAUACGCUGAUGAUGAUAGGUCUGGAUGAACCGUCAGCUCAAAAUCGCUCUUCCAGUCUGUUCCUGUACUGGCUCGUCAGCGACAUUCCAGCGCAUAGUUAUGAAAAUGAGCAACUACCUGCUCUCGAUUAUGUAAGGGGAGACACGAUUUUCGAUUACAGGGAACCGAGGCCUUUGCUAGGAACAGGACUUCACCGAUAUGUGUUCCUUGUUUAUGCACACGGAAAUAGAACGAUAAAUUGUACAAUGAAAAAACUGAAUCAGAGUGAUGUCACAGGACGGCCUCAUUUCAACUUGAAAGACUUUGUUAGACAAUAUGACCUUGGAGAACCGUACGCUGUUAAUUUCUUUGUGGCUCAAUGGCAGAAGCCCCUAUACACUACUACUACUUCAGACCCGAACGAACCAACAACACUCGUCGUGGAGCAUCUUUCGGAGAGAUGGGGCGGGGCUAUUCGAAUGAGGAGUAAAAAAGUUAAGGAAAAAGACUCGUAGAUAUUCUAUUGUAGCACUAAUGCUAUCUUGGAAUAGCGAAAGUAUCUAUUGGUUACAAAAUAAGUGGAUUUUUUGUUUGCCAAAAAUUGUUUUUUGUUUUGAUUUUUGUUUCGCAAAAAAUACGUCUUUUUUGCACUGAUACUAGGGAAUUAAUAGUAUUACGUAGGUUGUCCUAUUAUAACCGGCAGUUGGCCUUGUAUUUGUGAUAUACCCAUGUCUCUUUUAGCAGAAAAAAAAUCCAGUUUUCCAAUGAUUAAUAUUGAGUUUAUGAAGACCACAAAAAGCCAAGAUGACCUAUACACGGUAGGAAUGAAAUUACUUGAGCUGCAUCUUCAAAUUUAGUUGUUUGGUCAAAUUCAACCGUUUCCAUCAUGUAUGAGAAUGAAAUGAAAUAGAUCUAAGGAUGGAUCGACUGACUCCAAAAUUUAAAAAUAAAUCGAUUUCGUGAGUUUCAGCCCUGGGAACAAAAAAAAGCAGCACCUAAUUAACUAUCAGCUUUGUCAAGGAGCUAAAAGACAAUUUUAAAGUUUGUGGUAUCCUUCUGGAUUCGUAAAAGCGGUGGAAAAUGCAGAACAAUACAUUUCUUUAGUAAAGUCCCUGAUAUUAUUUCGCAGAAAGAGGCUUAUUCUUUUGAGGCAGUAAAUUAACACACUUCUGGAGAUACGUCUCGAGCGAUCGUAUAUCUAUGGAUUCUGUGUCAACUGAGGAACUACCCAAAGGCAAAGGACCGGCUUGUGUAGACAGGCCGGUCUGGAAUAAUUCUUCUUUAAUCACCCAAACAAUGAUGUCGGACUGUGAACAGUAUAUUGCAUAUGAACUGAAGCUGGAAGUACGAGAACGAAGCCGCAGUAGGUCUGUGGUGACUAAGCGAUUAAUCUGUCUUUUAAUCGGCCUUAAUUUUUAACCCUCCAACUUUACAAUGCAGUAUUAUACUUUUUAAUAAAAUUUGUUUUAAACAUUUUUGAAGUAUGAUUAAAGCAUAUGUCGCUGUUUCCCUUCUUCUGUCGAGUGAUACUUUCCAAACGUUACAUACACACAUUGCUAUUGAAACAUUCAUUAAAAAAAACCCAACCUCGGUUCUCAUUUUUUUUUCAUGUCUCGGGCGAAAUCAGUCAACAUUAGAAACAUUUUAGUUACGUCUAUUUUUUUACCAAUAUUAUUUUCGUGUAUAUUUAAGCUUUUCCGAAAAGUUCAUCGAACUCACUUUUAUUUACUCUCAUUCCAAUUUCUACGGAAAGCAAAUAUUUCGUAAGAAAUAAACCUCAUCCGAAUUUAAAAAGUUCUGCCAAGCAAAGAUAAAAGAGGUUCGUCGAGUCUCAGCGCCGAUCGCCUUCAAUUCUGCUUGAUACACUACGCUUUACCGCGUGGUUAGUUUAGUUGCGUGACCAAAGUUAAUCCACCUCAAGUGGCUCAGGUUCCCACUUUUGCAUCAACGUAAAAAGUGGACGUAACGUAAGUAAACGUUGUUCUUCUCACUCUGCCCCCCCUAGAAAAAAAUUGGCCGAAGCGAUUUCCUUUAAAAUUGGUGCACGCUUAGCUAUUGUAACGAGGAGUUGAUUAAAAUUAUUCCCAUUCAAAUCCGCUGCCUAGGACGCCUACAAGAGCGAAAAGUUGUUUCUCCCUAUAGUAUUGCACUGGAGAUACGCGGUUGUUUACGCGCACCGCGCCGAACAGGUUCAAUCCUGUUGCGUGACGACACAGCCUUAUAGACGAAAUU
This 2961-nucleotide long non-coding RNA is filed under the name Bemisia tabaci. Its description in RNAcentral is "lncRNA ENSSWEETPG003504". Lineage: Eukaryota; Metazoa; Arthropoda; Insecta; Hemiptera; Aleyrodidae. The record is from RNAcentral.